Molecule: ribosomal RNA, 492 nt
Filed under: uncultured bacterium
Lineage: Bacteria
Description: partial 16S ribosomal RNA
Rfam family: Bacterial small subunit ribosomal RNA
Source: RNAcentral
AGUGAACGCUGGCGGUAGGCCUAACACAUGCAAGUCGAACGGCAGCACAGUAAGGGCUUGCUCUUACGGGUGGCGAGUGGCGGACGGGUGAGGAAUACAUCGGAAUCUACUUUUUCGUGGGGGAUAACGUAGGGAAACUUACGCUAAUACCGCAUACGACCUACGGGUGAAAGCAGGGGAUCUUCGGACCUUGCGCGAUUGAAUGAGCCGAUGUCGGAUUAGCUAGUUGGCGGGGUAAAGGCCCACCAAGGCGACGAUCCGUAGCUGGUCUGAGAGGAUGAUCAGCCACACUGGAACUGAGACACGGUCCAGACUCCUACGGGAGGCAGCAGUGGGGAAUAUUGGACAAUGGGCGCAGGCCUGAUCCAGCCAUACCGCGUGGGUGAAGAAGGCCUUCGGGUUGUAAAGCCCUUUUGUUGGGAAAGAAAAGCAGCAGGUUAAUACCCCGCUGUUCUGACGGUACCCAAAGAAUAAGCACCGGCUAACUUCGUG